AGUUUGAUCCUGGCUCAGAGUGAACGUUGGCGGCACGCCUAACACAUGCAAGUCGAGCGAAGUAGUUUACUACUUAGCGGCGAACGGGUGAGUAAUACUUGGAUAACCUGCCUUAAGGUCUGGGACAACUACAGGAAACUGUAGCUAAUACCGGAUAUGACCACACUUACUAAGGUAAGAGUGGUAAAAGAUUUAUCGCCUUUAGAUGGGUCCAAGUCGCAUCAGGUUGUUGGUGGGGUAAUGGCCUACCAAGCCUAUGACGCGUAGCAGGCCUUAGCGGAUGAUCUGCCACAUGGGGACUGAGAUACGGCCCUGACUCCUACGGGAGGCAGCAGUGAGGAAUAUUGGGCAAUGGACGCAAGUCUGACCCAGCGAUGCCGCGUGAAGGAUGAAGGCCUUAGGGUUGUAAACUUCUGUCAGCAGGGAAGAUAAUGACGGUACCUGCAGAGGAAGCCCCGGCUAACUCCGUGCCAGCAGCCGCGGUAAUACGGAGGGGGCAAACGUUACUCGGAUUUACUGGGCGUAAAGGGUCCGUAGGCGGUUCUUUAAGUUAGAUGUGAAAGCUUGAAGCUUAACUUCAAAAUUGCAUCUAAAACUGGAGAACUAGGUUCUUGGAGAGGUUGAUGGAAUUACCGGUGUAGCGGUGAAAUGCGUAGAUAUCGGUAGGAACACCAGUGGCGAAAGCGAUCAACUGGCCAAGUAACGACGCUGAGGGACGAAAGCGUGGGUAGCAAACAGGAUUAGAUACCCUGUAGUCCACGCCCUAAACGAUGAAUACUAGAUGUAGGAUUUAAUUCUGUAUCGUAGCUAACGCAUUAAGUAUUCCGCCUGGGGAGUACGGUCGCAAGG
This 849-nucleotide ribosomal RNA is filed under the name uncultured bacterium. RNAcentral's name for it is "bacterial SSU rRNA". It matches the Rfam family "Bacterial small subunit ribosomal RNA", at positions 10 to 893 of the family's 1533-position model. The record is from RNAcentral.